CCUACGGGAGGCAGCAGUCGAGAAUCAUUCACAAUGGGGGAAACCCUGAUGGUGCGACGCCGCGUGGGGGAAUGAAGGUCUUCGGAUUGUAAACCCCUGUCAUGUGGGAGCAAAUUAAAAAGAUAGCACCACAAGAGGAAGAGACGGCUAACUCUGUGCCAGCAGCCGCGGUAAUACAGAGGUCUCAAGCGUUGUUCGGAAUCACUGGGCGGAAAGCGUGCGUAGGCUGUUUCGUAAGUCGUGUGUGAAAGGCGCGGGCUCAACCCGCGGACGGCACAUGAUACUGCGAGACUAGAGUAAUGGAGGGGGAACCGGAAUGCUCGGUGUAGCAGUGAAAUGCGUAGAUAUAGAGAGGAACACUCGUGGCGAAGGCGGGUUCCUGGACAUUAACUGACGCUGAGGCACGAAGGCCAGGGGAGCGAAAGGGAUUAGAUACCCUUGUAGUC
This 446-nucleotide ribosomal RNA is filed under the name uncultured bacterium. RNAcentral's name for it is "partial 16S ribosomal RNA". It matches the Rfam family "Bacterial small subunit ribosomal RNA", at positions 338 to 795 of the family's 1533-position model. The record is from RNAcentral.